UAGACUGUUCUUUCCUCUUUGGUGGCUUCGGUUGUGGUAGGGCCCUUGAUCGAUCCUCCCUACCUUCAGACCGACGUCGGAUGAAUUUGUCGAGCCGACCCCGCCUGAUGAGCUCCUCGAUUUCAUCUCAGAGUUGAAUACACUCCUCCAUGUCAUGGCCGUGGUCACGAUGAUAGAGGUAGAAUUUGUUUGGGUUAUACUUUUCAGGGUGCAAG
RNAcentral lists this long non-coding RNA (215 nucleotides) under Elaeis guineensis (African oil palm). Its description in RNAcentral is "long non-coding RNA (EGUI_LNC039504)". Lineage: Eukaryota; Viridiplantae; Streptophyta; Magnoliopsida; Arecales; Arecaceae. The record is from RNAcentral.